GCCGCGGUGGCGAAACAGGUAGACGCAAGGGACUUAAAAUCCCUCGGGAUAUACAACUCCCGUGCCGGUUCGAUUCCGGCCCGCGGCACCA
RNAcentral lists this transfer RNA (91 nucleotides) under Neisseriales bacterium. Its description in RNAcentral is "tRNA-Leu". It matches the Rfam family "tRNA". From Rfam's summary of the family: Transfer RNA (tRNA) molecules are approximately 80 nucleotides in length. Their secondary structure includes four short double-helical elements and three loops (D, anti-codon, and T loops). Further hydrogen bonds mediate the characteristic L-shaped molecular structure. tRNAs have two regions of fundamental functional importance: the anti-codon, which is responsible for specific mRNA codon recognition, and the 3' end, to which the tRNAs corresponding amino acid is attached (by aminoacyl-tRNA synthetases). tRNAs cope with the degeneracy of the genetic code in two manners: having more than one tRNA (with a specific anti-codon) for a particular amino acid; and 'wobble' base-pairing, i.e. permitting non-standard base-pairing at the 3rd anti-codon position. RNAcentral also lists the same sequence under 1 other name. Lineage: Bacteria; Pseudomonadati; Pseudomonadota; Betaproteobacteria; Neisseriales. The record is from RNAcentral.